UACGAAGGGGGCUAGCGUUGUUCGGAAUUACUGGGCGUAAAGCGCGUGUAGGCGGGUCUUUAAGUCAGGGGUGAAAUGCCAAGGCUCAACCUUGGAACUGCCUUUGAUACUGGAGAUCUUGAGUCCGGGAGAGGUGAGUGGAAUUGCGAGUGUAGAGGUGAAAUUCGUAGAUAUUCGCAAGAACACCAGUGGCGAAGGCGGCUCACUGGCCCGGUACUGACGCUGAGGUGCGAAAGCGUGGGGAGCAAACAGG
Molecule: ribosomal RNA, 253 nt
Filed under: uncultured bacterium
Lineage: Bacteria
Description: partial 16S ribosomal RNA
Rfam family: Bacterial small subunit ribosomal RNA
Source: RNAcentral